Molecule: long non-coding RNA, 2581 nt
Filed under: Homo sapiens (human)
Lineage: Eukaryota; Metazoa; Chordata; Mammalia; Primates; Hominidae
Description: HSALNT0324109
Source: RNAcentral
AAUUUACUAAUGCAUUCAUUCCACAAGUAAACUUCUGCAAUCCUCGUUUAUUCAUAUACUUUGACAAAAACAAAGAGACCCACAAGCUUUUUGAGUCUUCACAACCCAAAACAUGUAUUUGAAACUGAAAAUUCAAUCAUUCCAUGUUUAUAGGCAUAUUGCUUGAUAGAAACAUAUAAAUCAUUACCUGAAUUUUUUUUUUUUUUUUUUUUUUUUGAGACGGAGUCUCACUCUGUCACCCAGGCUGGAGUGCAGUGGUGCAGUCUCAGCUCACUACAACCUCUGCCUCCCGGGUUCAAGCUAUUCUCCUGCCUCAGUCUCCUGAGUAGCUGGGAUUACAGGCGCCCACCACCACACCCGGCUAAUUUUUUUUUUUUAAUUUUUAAUCGAGACGGAGUUUUACCAUGUUGGCCACGCUGGUCUCGAACUCCUGACCUCUGGUGAUCCACCCGCCUUGGCCUCCCAAAGUGCUGGGAUUACAGGCAUGAGCCACCGCGCCCAGCCUGGAUUUUUUUUAAUCCAACCCAGUUCCAUAUUUUCCUCUAGAGAGACUGACUCACCAAGCCUAUCUCCUUUUCCUGGAAACACAAUCAAAUUAACUUUCCAGUCACCGCUGUGUCUAGGUGUGGCCAUAUGAGUAGUUCUCACCAGUGGAAUGUAGUGAAAACGAGAUGCUGUCUCUUAGGGACUAAGGAAGCUAUCUUUCCUCUUCCGACAUUUGCUGACUGGUCGAUGCUAGAUGAUCUUGAGACCCUGUGCUGAGGACUGGAGAACUACAGGAAAGGAGCAGUAUCUCUGAAUUAUCGUGUGGAAGGUCACUUGUCUAGCCCCUGAUGACUGUGAGCCUCUUCCUCCUGCUUGCCACCUCUCAGUCACAAGACGGCUGCUGCGACUCAGGCUCAUGUCCCAAUUCAAGGCAGCAAGAAGGCCAUGGAGCGGCACCUGCCAGCAGAUGCCCCUGCAGGCCAUCUCUCCAGGCUCAGGAACCUAAAGAAGAAUCUACCCAGAUGUGGUGGCUCACACCUGUGAUCCCACCACUUUGGGAGGCUGAGGCAAGAGGAUCACUUGAGCCCAGGAGUUGGAGACCAACGUAGGCAAUACAGCAAGACUCCCAUCUCUACAAAAAAAAAAAAGAAAGAAAGAAAGAAAGAAAAGAAAUUAGCUGGCUGUGGUGCUGCACAUUUGUAAUACCAGCUACUCUAGAGGCUGAGGCUGGAGGAUCACUUGAGCCGAGGAGUGAGCUAUGACCACACCAUUGCAUUUCAGCCUCAGUGACAGAGCAAGGCCCUGCCUCAAAAAAAAAAAAAAAAAAAGAAAAGAAUAAGAUAAAAUAAAUAAUACAGGAGAACCUAGUGCUCAGGUUCUCUAGUGAAGAGGAAGGCAAAAGAUAGAAAGGUCAGACAAACUUAAACAUGCAUUCCAAGAUCGGCCUGGGUCCGCCCGUAGACAUGAAGGAAUCUUCUGGUGGAAAGUUAGGCAGGGAAACGGACACUGCUAUGAGCAUGUCUUCCUGGGCAGCUUGCGAUGGUCAGGAGGAGGUGGUUGUUCCUCAGCAGCGGUGCUUCCGAUGAAGCCCCAUGUUGUAGUGGAAGACAAGCCAUUCCUGUCUGACCUUCUGUGCCGCGCCUAGGCUUCCAAAAGCUGCUAUCGCCAAGAUCCAUUUCCGUUCACCUUUAAACUGCUUGUUAUGGGGAGGAGUCAGCCAGCCAUGAUGCAUACUUGUUACAGAAAGAAACGCCCACGUUGAGCUCUCCUGAUAAGAAGAGAGAGCAUUCGUCAUUGUCUGUAUCUGUCAUCUGAAGAAGGAACCAAUGUCAAAAAUCCCACACAUUCUCCUCCCGCAAGUCACAGAGUAAGCCUCCCAUUCUUGAGCUCGUUCAUUCACCAAACACAUUCUGAUCUCUCCUGUGCCCAGGCGGUGGGAUUCAGAGAAGAAGUGCUGCCUAGUAGUCAGCACCCAGUGCCAGGAAAACAGGACAAGGGGAGUUGUCGGGGGAGACACCAGGAUUGAAGUUGCUUUUACUAAAAAACAUUUUUUUUAUCUUGUUAACAAAUAUAUUUACCAUGGUACAUGGUGGCAAUGCUCUCAGUUUUAAAACACAGCAAUUAUCUUCCAGUGGUCACUAAUUAAUCCAGGUGUGGCUAGGAACAGCUGGAUACUGAUCUGUGUGAUGAUGGCACCUCUAUCAUCAGGCUGCCAUUGCUGGCACUUUGGGCAAGGUGGACUGGGGUUCUGCUCUGGGGCUGUGUGCCCAAGGUUUACACCUCACUAUUUUACAGCACACUGGAGCUCCCAACAGUCCCCGAAGGUCUGGAGAUCACCAAUGGGCAGGAGAGAAGGGAGGGGUUUAGACAUCAGGGAGCCAAGUUCUACAGCAUCUUCUAGAUCCAGGCUAUCGAGCACUUGAAAUGCGGCUAAGUCUGAAUUGAGAUGUGCUGUGUGUAAGAGACACAACAGAUUUUGAAGACAGUAUGAGAAAAAGAACAUAAAAUAUCUCAGUAAUUUUAUAUUGAUUACAUGUUGAAAUGAUACUAAUUUUUGAUAUACUGGGUUAAAUAAAAUAGAUUAUUAAAAUUAACU